ACAAGGGGGGGAGUCUACCAUGCAGUCGAACGGUGAAGCCAAGCUUGCUUGGUGGAUCAGUGGCGAACGGGUGAGUAACACGUGAGCAACCUGCCCUGGACUCUGGGAUAAGCGCUGGAAACGGCGUCUAAUACUGGAUAUGAGCUUCUGCCGCAUGGUGGGGGUUGGAAAGAUUUUUCGGUCUGGGAUGGGCUCGCGGCCUAUCAGCUUGUUGGUGAGGUAAUGGCUCACCAAGGCGUCGACGGGUAGCCGGCCUGAGAGGGUGACCGGCCACACUGGGACUGAGACACGGCCCAGACUCCUACGGGAGGCAGCAGUGGGGAAUAUUGCACAAUGGGCGGAAGCCUGAUGCAGCAACGCCGCGUGAGGGAUGACGGCCUUCGGGUUGUAAACCUCUUUUAGCAGGGAAGAAGCGAAAGUGACGGUACCUGCAGAAAAAGCGCCGGCUAACUACGUGCCAGCAGCCGCGGUAAUACGUAGGGCGCAAGCGUUAUCCGGAAUUAUUGGGCGUAAAGAGCUCGUAGGCGGUUUGUCGCGUCUGCUGUGAAAUCCCGAGGCUCAACCUCGGGCCUGCAGUGGGUACGGGCAGACUAGAGUGCGGUAGGGGAGAUUGGAAUUCCUGGUGUAGCGGUGGAAUGCGCAGAUAUCAGGAGGAACACCGAUGGCGAAGGCAGAUCUCUGGGCCGUAACUGACGCUGAGGAGCGAAAGGGUGGGGAGCAAACAGGCUUAGAUACCCUGGUAGUCCACCCCGUAAACGUUGGGAACUAGUUGUGGGGACCAUUCCACGGUUUCCGUGACG
RNAcentral lists this ribosomal RNA (800 nucleotides) under Microbacterium sp. JSM 2215137. RNAcentral describes it as "bacterial SSU rRNA". It matches the Rfam family "Bacterial small subunit ribosomal RNA", at positions 35 to 848 of the family's 1533-position model. The record is from RNAcentral. Lineage: Bacteria; Bacillati; Actinomycetota; Actinomycetes; Micrococcales; Microbacteriaceae.